ACGAACGCUGGCGGCGUGCUUAACACAUGCAAGUCGAACGGUGAUCCCCUUUCGGGGGGUGAUCAGUGGCGAACGGGUGAGUAACACGUGAGCAACCUGCCCCUGGCUCUGGGACAACCACUGGAAACGGUGGCUAAUACCGGAUACGACUCACCUCGGCAUCGAGUGUGGGUGGAAAGUUUUUCGGCUGGGGAUGGGCUCGCGGCCUAUCAGCUUGUUGGUGGGGUAAUGGCCUACCAAGGCGACGACGGGUAGCCGGCCUGAGAGGGCGACCGGCCACACUGGGACUGAGACACGGCCCAGACUCCUACGGGAGGCAGCAGUGGGGAAUAUUGCACAAUGGGCGAAAGCCUGAUGCAGCGACGCCGCGUGAGGGAUGACGGCCUUCGGGUUGUAAACCUCUUUCAGCUCCGAAGAAGCGAAAGUGACGGUAGGAGCAGAAGAAGCACCGGCUAACUACGUGCCAGCAGCCGCCGUAAAAC
RNAcentral lists this ribosomal RNA (482 nucleotides) under uncultured bacterium. RNAcentral describes it as "bacterial SSU rRNA". It matches the Rfam family "Bacterial small subunit ribosomal RNA", at positions 29 to 526 of the family's 1533-position model. The record is from RNAcentral.